GCGAGAUCGAGAGAUGGAGCAAAUCCCAAAAAUAACGUCCCAGUUCGGACUGUAGUCUGCAACCCGACUACACGAAGCUGGAAUCGCUAGUAAUCGCGGAUCAGAAUGCCGCGGUGAAUACGUUUCCGGGUCUUGUACACACCGCCCGUCACACCAUGGGAGUCAGUAACGCCCGAAGUCAGUGACCUAACCGAAAGGGAGGAGCUGCCGAAGGCGGGACGGAUGACUGGGGUGAAGUCGUAACAAGGUAUC
Molecule: ribosomal RNA, 252 nt
Filed under: uncultured bacterium
Lineage: Bacteria
Description: partial 16S ribosomal RNA
Rfam family: Bacterial small subunit ribosomal RNA
Source: RNAcentral